This 795-nucleotide ribosomal RNA is filed under the name uncultured bacterium. Its description in RNAcentral is "bacterial SSU rRNA". It matches the Rfam family "Bacterial small subunit ribosomal RNA", at positions 8 to 796 of the family's 1533-position model. The record is from RNAcentral.
AGAGUUUGAUCCUGGCUCAGAUUGAACGCUGGCGGAAUGCUUUACACAUGCAAGUCGAACGGCAGCACGGGAGCUUGCUCCUGGUGGCGAGUGGCGAACGGGUGAGUAAUAUAUCGGAACGUAUCCAAUAAUGGGGGAUAACUAGUCGAAAGAUUAGCUAAUACCGCAUACGCCCUGAGGGGGAAAGCUGGGGAUCUUCGGACCUAGCGUUAAUGGAGCGGCCGAUAUCUGAUUAGCUAGUAGGUGAGGUAAAGGCUCACCUAGGCUUCGAUCAGUAGCUGGUCUGAGAGGACGACCAGCCACACUGGAACUGAGACACGGUCCAGACUCCUACGGGAGGCAGCAGUGGGGAAUUUUGGACAAUGGGCGCAAGCCUGAUCCAGCCAUUCCGCGUGAGUGAAGAAGGCCUUCGGGUUGUAAAGCUCUUUCGCAAGGGAAGAAAACUUAACCUCUAACAUAGGUUGAGGCUGACGGUACCUUGAUAAGAAGCACCGGCUAACUACGUGCCAGCAGCCGCGGUAAUACGUAGGGUGCGAGCGUUAAUCGGAAUUACUGGGCGUAAAGCGUGCGCAGGCGGCCUGAUAAGUCAGAUGUGAAAUCCCCGAGCUCAACUUGGGAACUGCGUUUGAAACUAUCAAGCUAGAAUAUGUCAGAGGGGGGUAGAAUUCCACGUGUAGCAGUGAAAUGCGUAGAGAUGUGGAGGAAUACCAAUGGCGAAGGCAGCCCCCUGGGAUAAUAUUGACGCUCAUGCACGAAAGCGUGGGGAGCAAACAGGAUUAGAUACCCUGGUAGUCG